RNAcentral lists this ribosomal RNA (512 nucleotides) under uncultured bacterium. Its description in RNAcentral is "partial 16S ribosomal RNA". It matches the Rfam family "Bacterial small subunit ribosomal RNA", at positions 28 to 507 of the family's 1533-position model. The record is from RNAcentral.
GAUGAACGCUGGCGGCGUGCCUAAUACAUGCAAGUCGAACGAAACUUCUUUAUCACCGAGUGCUUGCACUCACCGAUAAAGAGUUGAGUGGCGAACGGGUGAGUAACACGUGGGCAACCUGCCCAAAAGAGGGGGAUAACACUUGGAAACAGGUGCUAAUACCGCAUAACCAUAGUUACCGCAUGGUAACUAUGUAAAAGGUGGCUAUACUACCGCUUUUGGAUGGGCCCGCGGCGCAUUAGCUAGUUGGUAGGGUAAAGGCUUACCAAGGCAAUGAUGCGUAGCCGAAUUGAGAGGUUGAUCGGCCACAUUGGGACUGAGACACGGCCCAAACUCCUACGGGAGGCAGCAGUAGGGAAUCUUCCACAAUGGGCGAAAGCCUGAUGGAGCAACGCCGCGUGGGUGAAGAAGGUCUUCGGAUCGUAAAACCCUGUUGUUAGAGAAGAAAGUGCGUGAGAGUAACUGUUCACGUUUCGACGGUAUCUAACCAGAAAGCCACGGCCAACUACGUG